GAUCAUGGCUCAGGAUGAACGCUAGCUACAGGCUUAACACAUGCAAGUCGAGGGGCAUCGGGAAGAAAGCUUGCUUUCUUUGCUGGCGACCGGCGCACGGGUGAGUAACACGUAUCCAACCUGCCCUUUACUCGGGGAUAGCCUUUCGAAAGAAAGAUUAAUACCCGAUGGGAUAAUUAUUCCGCAUGGUUUGUAUUAUUAAGGAUCCGUAAGGAUGGGAGUGCGUUCCAUUAGGUUGUUGGUGAGGUAACGG
This 253-nucleotide ribosomal RNA is filed under the name uncultured bacterium. RNAcentral's name for it is "partial 16S ribosomal RNA". It matches the Rfam family "Bacterial small subunit ribosomal RNA", at positions 15 to 263 of the family's 1533-position model. The record is from RNAcentral.